This 99-nucleotide transfer RNA is filed under the name Trichodelitschia bisporula. It matches the Rfam family "tRNA". From Rfam's summary of the family: Transfer RNA (tRNA) molecules are approximately 80 nucleotides in length. Their secondary structure includes four short double-helical elements and three loops (D, anti-codon, and T loops). Further hydrogen bonds mediate the characteristic L-shaped molecular structure. tRNAs have two regions of fundamental functional importance: the anti-codon, which is responsible for specific mRNA codon recognition, and the 3' end, to which the tRNAs corresponding amino acid is attached (by aminoacyl-tRNA synthetases). tRNAs cope with the degeneracy of the genetic code in two manners: having more than one tRNA (with a specific anti-codon) for a particular amino acid; and 'wobble' base-pairing, i.e. permitting non-standard base-pairing at the 3rd anti-codon position. Lineage: Eukaryota; Fungi; Ascomycota; Dothideomycetes; Phaeotrichales; Phaeotrichaceae. The record is from Rfam by way of RNAcentral.
GGCAAGGUGGCCGAGUUGGUUAAGGCGUCAGGUUAAGGUCUACCUUAGCACAGCAUCCUGAUUCAGAAAUGAGCACGAGUUCGAAUCUCGUCCUUGUCA